CCCUUAGAUGUCCUGGGCCGCACGCGCGUUACACUGAUGCAUUCAACGAGUUUUGUUUGUUCCUUGGCCGAGAGGCCUGGGCAAUCUUUUGAACUUGCAUCGUGAUAGGGAUAGAUUAUUGCAAUUAUUAAUCUUGAACGAGGAAUUCCUAGUAAACGCAGAUCAUCAAUCUGCAUUGAUUACGUCCCUGCCCUUUGUACACACCGCCCGUCGCACCUACCGAUUGAAUGGUCCGGUGAAGCCUCGGGAUUGUGGUUGGUUUCCUUUAUUGGAGAUUGAUUGCGAGAACUUGUCUAAACCUUAUCAUUUAGAGGAAGGUGAAGUCGUAACA
This 331-nucleotide ribosomal RNA is filed under the name uncultured eukaryote. Its description in RNAcentral is "partial 18S ribosomal RNA". It matches the Rfam family "Eukaryotic small subunit ribosomal RNA", at positions 1470 to 1796 of the family's 1831-position model. The record is from RNAcentral.